GUUCAAGGUGGCGGCGCCCAAUGGCACCAUGAGCGAUUUGGAAAGCAGCAGCAGCAGCGACGCGGAGGAGGUGGAACGAUGUCGCGAGGCGGCGAUGCCGGCCUGGGGCUUGGAGCAGCGCCCGAGGGGGCCGGUGAAGCCAACAGCCGCACUCAGCACACAGCCAGGUGCUGCAAAUACUCAGUUGCCAACCACCCAGCCGAGCUUCAGGCACAAGGCGGAUGAGCACGAACAAGAUGGCAAUGAGCUUCAGACCACCCCCGAAUUCCGAGCCCACGUAGCUAAGCAGCUGGGAGUCCUGCUGGACAGCUCCAUUACCAUCUCAGUAGUGAAGGAGCCAAGAAAGGCUGAAGUACAGAGAGUCGCCCCAGAGGAUGACGGCUUCCGGCUCUUCUUCACAUCCAUCCCCGGAGGCUCUGAGAAGGAGGCCACCCCCCAGCCCCAACGGAAACGGUUGCCUUCCAGCUCCAGCAGUGACGAUGGCGGCGAGGAGUUGCAGCGGUGCCGGGAGGCGGCUGUGUCAGCCUCCGACAUUCUGCAGGAGUCUGCCAUCCAUAGCCCUGUCAACGUGGAGGAAAAGGCAAAGAAGAAGAAAAAGAAGUUGAAAAAGAAAGCCAAGAAGGAGGCCAGCACCGACAUCGUCACCGCCACCACCACCACAAGCAAGGCCGCCGUCAGGAAGCAGGAACAGGAGUCCGCUGAGCUCAACGGAGACCAGGUGCCACUUGGAACCAAAAAGAAGAAAAGGAAGAAAAAGGCAAAGAGGGCCAGUGAGGCCUCCCCAUUCCCGCCAGCAAGGAGUGCAACAGCUGUGCCUGCAAACUGAGCCCAGCCCGACUAGGGGCGCCCACUGGGGACAAGAUAUUUCCACGCCCUGCCUCCCUCUCCCAGUUCAAGGACUUGGCUGGUAAGUCCAGACUCUGCCCAUGACUGGGGCUUGCCCCAGGGCCAGGGCAAAGGCGUAGCUGUAGGGCCAGAAGCCUGAGCUGAGCCCUGCCCUUCCGGGCUCCCACUGGGGCUGGGGCUGGAGCCGGCCUGUGGUACCAGAGCAUUCCAUGGCCUCGGGAAGCAAGAGGAGCCUCCAGUUACCCAAGCUGAUGGCCAAGUUGUAGAGCUUCCACCUCCCCAGUCCUGUCUGAGGAGAGCAAGUCAGGGGAGACCUUUUCCUUCUCCUCCACCUCCUCCACCUGGUGUGGGAGAUGAUCUGAAGAAGACAAGGGAGGGGGACCCCGAGAUGCAGAGGCCUGGAACGAGUUUUGUGCUUCUCCUGCCAAGCAACACAGACUUGAUAUAACAUUGCCUGAAAAAGAAGGAGAGAGAUUUCCCCCUCCCCUGGUUUUCCAGAAUCCCCUUUCUCCACAUGGGUGAAUACACCACACAAGAUCAUGUCUCUGAGCCAACCAGAUUAUGGAAAAUAAAUUGUCAAGGGACCUAGCAUGCAACAGAGUGAUUUGGGUGCUGCCUCCCUGUCAGUGCUAAAUCUUAAUGAGCCAUUUUAAGUAAGCAUCACAUGGGUGGGGUCUUCCUGCCUACAUCCCAAGGAGUGUUCCUGCACCCCAGCUUCAAUGAAGUGUCACAGCCCUUGUGGAUUGGGAUUCAUGGACCAGAGUAUUCUGCAGGAAGGAGCAGAAGUUCAAGGUGAAGGUAAAGUUCUGGCUUCAUCACCUUGCCUUGGAGAUUCAGCAGAGCAAGAAAGACAGGUGGGCUGUGAGAGUGUGUGUGCUAGACUCAAGCCCCCGGGUCCCUCUGCUCCCCUCUGCCUACCCAUCCCACUCUGGGCAAUGUGUGGACACACAAGAAGUUUCUGCUACGUUCCUCAUUUGCUUUACUAAAAGUUAAAUAAAUGUACAGGCUCGCCCUUAGCCAGCUGCAAGCUGCAGGGGUGUCAGCUCUCCCCCUGCACCGGAUGGAGGCUGUCCACGAGGGCCAGGUUAUCUGCAGCAGCCCUGGGAUGAUGAGGGCACAUGAGCCCUGGGUUUCCACGGCUGCCUUGUCCCUCAGGGCCUCAGGUUCCGGGGCGCUGUGAAUGCGUGGACCUCUCCCCAUCGCCUCAGCCAGCCAGGCUCCAGGCUUCCAGGCGGCAGCCUCUCCACCAGUCUUGCCUCUCCUCCCUCUGGGCACCUCAGCUCUGCCAGCUGCUCCUGCCUUACUGCCUCCUGAGCUCAGCAGCUUCUCCUCCAAACCAAGGAAGGGUCUGCUGCCCCAGGACCUCGACUUCACACCAGGCUCAGAGUCACGAGGCUCCCAUAGCAAUGAGGAUGACGUCUAGCCCUUAGGGGGGCUUUCCAGCAGCAGCAGGAUGCCAGGCUAGCAUCAGAAGGCUUGAUGCUCGGGGAGGGGGAUGUAUGUCCAAGAAAACUGGAGGUCACAGGGGCGGGGAGAGGGAUGGCUCAGGACGAGGGAAGCUGGUGAGGCCUGCUUGCCCUGGGCCCCUGGCACAGAGUAGCCACUCAGACGAUGCUGAUGUGAGUUGGGGACAGGGGUGGGUCCAAAUGGGGGUUCAUAGCAGGAAGAGAGGCUGGGCAGAGUGGCCUGGUCGGGGCAUAGGUGACAGAAUAGGGCCAUGUUGAUCCAUGACCUCUGUCCCUUGUGUCCUGAGAAGUGUGGCUGGCAAUUUCCUUCAGGAUACCAGGGCUCUUCACAGGCCCAGCCUUGGGGUACCAGAGUCCAAAGGCUGCCCCCUUUCUGUUCCAAGUGAUAAGAUGUACCCUGAGCGUCAGGGACAGUCCCUACCGUGUCGCACUGGGAACAAACUGCUUCCCAGCUCUCCACAGUCCCCUCUUGUGCACUGAAGCAGCCUUCUUCGGGUUGGGGCACCUCAGAAUCCCCAUCUCUGAUGCUGGCAGAGCAGGGUGGGGACCGAGGCACCGUUUUCCAGGGGAGAGCAGCAGCCCCGUGACAGCGGAAGUUUUGCAGGCUCAGAUGUUCUCAUCACCCCUCAAGCAGGCUGUGGAGGCUCCAGGGCCCAGUCCAUGGGAGGCGGUUGCCAUGGUUACUGGGAAGAAGAGGCCAUCUGCGUGGAGAUGAAGGUCUCGAUGACGCUGUGGUUGGACGGCAGCAGGUGGCUGUGGCCGUUGGUGGAGUCGGAGCUCUGGUACAGCACCAGGCUGCUGGAGGACACUGCAGAGGCAGGUGAAGCUGUUGGAUUGCACACCAAGGCCAGCCUGACCCCUCCGGACCCACAGGGUACUCAGGAUGGGAACAUGGGGCCUCGCCUCCUCCUGAGUCUUAGCAGCUUCCAGGUCUCUGCUGGUCCCCAGGGAGCACUUUGACCCCUGUUCCCCGCUCAAGUGCUGUGGAUCAAGCCUUCCCCUCCACCCACCAUCCCACCAAAGGGGCUGCUGGUCAAGAGGCCCCACCCAGCCAGCAGGGUCUCCACCACGGCUUUCUGGUGGGCUGCCUCCUCCGGGCUGAGGUUCUCCAGCUCUUUGAGGAUUGGUGGCGUGAAGUCUUCCCCAUCGUCGUCCGUCUCUUCCUCGGAGCCCCUCGUCUCCCCCAGUCCGUUGGGCAGCUCGGCCAGCUCCCCUCUCCCACCACCGCCACAGGACUCCCCCUUGUCCAGGGGGCCAUCUCCGGCCAGCAGCCUCAUGAAGUAACUGCUACUCAAGCCAGACUGCCUGGGUUUGAGCCUGGCUCUGCCACUUACCAGCUGUGUGACCCUGGGCAAGUUGCUUAACCUCUCUGUGCCUCAGUUUCCUCUUCUGUAAAAUGGGGGUGAAAAUACUGUCUGUCCUGUAAGUUGUUAGGAUUAAUGAGGCAAUACACAUAAAGCACUGUGCCUCGCACAUUGUAAGUGCUCCUACGACUGAAUGAUUAUUGUUACCUGAUCAUUAACCUGGCUGCCCUACUCCCACUGGUCAGGCUGAGUUCUCUUCUUUUGCAAAAAUUCUCCAUGUAAGAGUCCCUGCCACCCAUUUUAUGUGACUCCUAAGCCCUGAUUCUGGCAUUCAAGGCUAUCAAUACCUCAACUCCACUCUCUCACCAGUCACACUACUCGCCAUCUCCAGGGCAUCCCUGAAACUCUCUCUCAUCUGUGACUUUUGCACCAGCUGUUUUCUCUGCCUGGAGACCCCCACCUCUUAACCUGUCCUCAAGAUCCUCCAGGGUCUUCUGCCCACAGCGAUGUGAGCCUUCACUAGCCAGCCUUCCCUAACUCACUGGAGCAGGACAGCAGCGACAGAAAGCCCUGGGCUGAGGAUGAGAGAUGCGGCUUCCGGACCCCACGCUCAAAGGGUUUGACUUAGUAGGUCUGGAGUGAAGCCCACAAUGUGCAAGUGUCUUGCAUCAAAGGGCAGAGAAUUGAAUGGUGUUCUCUGCAAAUCAACCAUACAUGUGGUGGUACGUGUGUAUCUGAGGAAGAUGUGGAAGAACAUACGCCAAACUGUCAACAUCGGUUAUCUUUGGCAGAGAGGUGUGCACAAACAAAACCAAAAACAAUAGUAGGGAAGAGAAAAAGAGAUCAAGAAAAGAAGCCUCAAAGAAAGAAAGAAAGAAAGAAAGAAAAAAGGAAGAAGUAAAGAAAGAGAAAAAAGGAAGAAAGGAAGGAAGGAAGAAGGAAAGAAGUUGUAACUAUGUGAGGUGAUGGUUAUUAAUUAAACUUCGUGUGGUAAUAUUUUGCAAUAUAUACAGACAUAUAUCGAAUCAUCAUGUAUACCUUAAACUAAUACAAUGUUAUAUGUCAACUAAACAAUAAAGUUGGGACAAAUUAGAUUGUGAUGAUGGUUGCACAACUGGUAAUACACUAAAACCACUGAACUGUCAUUUUAAAGGGGUGAGUUUUGUGGUAUAUGAGUUACAGCUCAAUAAAGCACUUAAUAAAAAAAA
Vicugna pacos (alpaca) is the source of this 4824-nucleotide non-coding RNA. Lineage: Eukaryota; Metazoa; Chordata; Mammalia; Artiodactyla; Camelidae. The record is from RefSeq and is a predicted model, not a curated record.